Oxyura jamaicensis (ruddy duck) is the source of this 5315-nucleotide long non-coding RNA. RefSeq lists it as uncharacterized. The transcript is spliced from 2 exons. Lineage: Eukaryota; Metazoa; Chordata; Aves; Anseriformes; Anatidae. The record is from RefSeq and is a predicted model, not a curated record.
CAAGGACCACAUCCUAGUUUUGCUUUUGCUUUAUUCCAUACCAUGGUUUGUUCACCUAGAAAAUAAUAAUAAUAGCAGCAACUUGUUUAUCUGGCUGUGUGGUCAACAGACUUUAGUAAAGGUUGUUUGUAUAUUAUUUUGAGAUUCUGCGAUAAAAAUUGCGGUACCAAAUAGUUUAUUUUAACCUGAUUUGUGCAUGUGCUAAUAUAGUCAUAUACAUAUAGGUUCACAGGAUCAGUUAACAGUUACUGCUCUUAAGCUGUCCACAGCUACUGUACGUGACAAUGCCAUAAAAUGAGGGACCCACAGAUUCUAGAGGUAGCUCUUGAACCAUCAGUCAUAGUGAGUGGAAAAUGGAGCUAUAAAAAUAUGUAUUGACAUUGGAGCGUGAUCAAAUGAGUUUAAGCAAUAUCCUCGAGAAGUAAAUUUACAUCUGCAUUUGCAUAUACCAUUUAUGCCAAAUAGAUCCCAUUGACUUAGUUCCCAUUAUUAUAUUUUGCAUUUGACCAUUAGAUGACACAGGGCUAAAUUAUUAUUUAAGACAGUAAAUAUUAUAGAGGAUAAACGACAAUACUGUACUCUGUCAAUUCUGUUUCUAUUCACAGCAAUGAAACUGCAUUAUCAUUGCAACAAACUAAUUUCAUUUUGUUACAGAUUGCAGUGUGCCUGUAGCAGACACUAAUACAAAUUAAUUAAAGUACAUCGAUUGUAACAAAAAUGAAGUGCAAACUAUUUAAAACUUCCUAAGUGAUUAGAUAUAAUAAAAGUUUGCAGACACAAUUGCGCAGCUGGCAAACCAAAGUCAAAAGAAAACAAUCACCCCACUCUAGAUGUACAGAACCUGGCUCCUAACCUCGGCUUUUAAACUUGAAGCUUGACAAACAAUAAUUCUCCUGUGAUCUGGACAGGUGGCAGUCCCAUCACGGAGCACUUGCCAGCAUUACCACUCUCCUCAUUUAGACUUUACAUCAAGUCUGUGUAAGCCCUGGCUUGAAAUCAGAUUCUUGUCUAUAAGCAAAGACAAAGACUAACACUUAUUUAUUAACACUAGUUUUAAGAAACAAAGGUAUUACAUAAAGGACCAGUGCUCGUUUAGAUUACACAGUGUUUUAAAGGGACAUGUGAUACACUAGAGGACUAUUUAUAUGUACGUUUGAAAGGAACCGUUGAUUACCUCAAAUAAUUCUUAUCCUAAACACACAAACACUGCUAGCAAGGUACAGAAAAACAAUUUUACAAUAGCAUAAAAUAAUAACACUGUUUUGUUUGUGGCUACACAAAAGGAUUGAAGAGUAUAAUUUUACUCUCUUAGACCAAAUGAAGUCCUAAAUUGGAAAAGCAGCUCCAUCCAAGGUCGCCUCUGUUGUUUCCAAAAAUAUCUUGAAACAAACGCAAGAGGGGCACUUUGUUGGGUGUUAUCUAGACAUAUAUAGUUUCAAUCAAAUUCUUCAAGAAGUGUCAGAAUAAAAGUCGAACAUUUGUUUGACGCUGCCAAGUCCCUAGCAAGUGAAUCCCUUCAAAGGUUGAAAAUAACUUUGACAACAGAAUUAAGAAUUAUAGGAUGUUUUCUUUACGCUUGAAAAAAGCCACAUAUAUUCGGGAUGGAAUUGUAAACACUUAUGAGAAAUUUCAUCAAAUGAUUGUAUAAUUCUUUCCGCUACACCGGGUGAAGUGUUACAGGGUUGUGUUAAUGAUCCUAGGAAAAUAUUUAUAGUGCUUUUUCCAGGAUAAGAGUUCUCUCUUCUCCUCUCGUUAUAUUUUCUGAUCAGCCUUCACUUCAUGCAAUUAAAUCAACAAGCAGAAAAGAACCUUCAGUGUAUAGAGAUUUUAAAGCGAUGCAUUUCACAUACAAAUGGCUGAAGUACAGUGUGCUAAAUACAAAAUACAAAAGGAAUAGCAGGCACACCACUAACAACCCACUAGGAAGUAUGCCACAUUCCAUCUCUUUGUCAGAAGGAUUCAGGUUUUCCUCUCAUUUUUAGCUGUGGGAGAUAUUUUCCUAAGGAGAUUUGAGACGAUUUUGUCAUUGCCCAUGAGAUAAUAAAUUCCCAAUUUUCGUUGCUGUCCUCUGAACAUUAACUGCAUCUCUCUCUGUUUCCUGACUCACUCAUGCAGAUACCUGAGCGCUCUAAUCAGCCUACAUAAAAUGAAAAUGAAGCAGAGAAAUCCUUUAGGACGAAAGAUGCAGUAUAAAUGUAAAAGUAUUAGUGGAACAGGUUGUCUGUGGGUGACUUUCAGUGUUCUGAUACAGUUCUGUUUUCUUUUAAAUAUGCUGUGAAAACAUGGCAAGCUUUAAAACAUGGAAAAAGGGAGGUGGGUACAAUGUCUUAUAUAUACUCUACAAAAAAUCAGUUUCUGAAUGUUGCAGUCCACAGGAUGCUGUCUCAGAGAAAUGCAUCAUUUAAAUGCUAGCUGAUACGCAAAAUGCAUCAUUUUCACAUGAUUUUUAAUUUUUAGAUCUUCAGUUUUUAGAAUUCCAAAUUAAUCAACCCUUUUUGCUUUUGCUAAUUCAUCACUAAUGGCUCUGAGAUUUAUGUGCUAACUCCAAAGAAAUGCCUAAACACUGUUACUUGCCAGAAAAUGCUGCAAUAAUGUAAACCAAAUAAACUGCUUUAUUCCUCCCAUUUUAUAACCUUAGAGUUUCAACAUAUUUAAAAAACAGUAAUCUGUUAAAAAAUUGCAUUCAAAUUUAUUUUAAUUGCAGAAAAUCUCAAUCAAUUUUUUUUUUUUUUUCAGGAUGAACCAGUUUUAAAAUCUAUAAUGAAGAAAUUGUGAGAUUAUUUCCUUUAUUAUUUCCCUUACAUGGUUAUCUUUGUAUAAGAUGUACGCCUUUAUAGUUUUGUUGUUGCUUCCUAAAUGCCAGGCAUAUUUUCUAUUCCAUUAGAGGAAAAAGAAGUAGGGAGAGAGAAGAGAAUUUAUCUUUGAAAAUUGGUAAGAUCCAUUUUCCAUACUCCUAUCAACUGCAUUUUUUCCGGUAUUAGCAAAAUGUGCAGGAUUUGGCUUUAUCCUGUUUCAGAAGUAGACCUAAUUAAGUGCUUAUUGUCUAAAUGAGUGUUUUUAAGACCUGAGCAGUUGCAAUAAAAUUUAGAAGCUUAAAAAUGAAAUGUUAUUCUGUAAUGACAGACUGAGCUGAAACGGUGCAAUAGGCAUUGGCUUGUGCAGAUCCUCUUGCAGAAAAAGUACUCUAGUUCUUGGCAUUCAGCAAGUGCCAGUUGUGUGCAUCCCAAUCUGCAAAAACAUACUUUUCUCCAAACUAUGAGAAAUGGAGAUUUAAUAAAAAGGUAGAAAUAUACUUCUUAUUUUUAUAAUAAAUAAAAAUAAUACUGCUAAAUACAAGGUAAUGCAUAAGGCUGCAUUUUAAACCCUAUAAAUACUCCAGGACUAGAUUUGUGCAAGACAGCCUCUCAUAGAUGUCUAAUAAAAAUCAAAUCGUAUUGCUAACUGCUUGUGGACUCUGGUUGUGCUGAGAAAAACUUGCACAAACAAUUUUUGUUAUAAAUUAGAAUGUGUCUAAUGGAACAUUGAUUUGUGUUGGAUGGAAGUCAUUACUUUAAAGAUAAUUAUAGUUCUUUUUUUUCCUCUCUGUCUCAUAAAUCUGAUGCUGGCCCUUUUAAUUCCUACUUGUUCUGUCAGGAGGAAGAAUACAGAGCUAAAUCCAGCAGACCUUAUUUUGGCAAAACUCCCACUGAAGUCAGUGAGGGUUUUGUGAGAGUAAGGACUGCAUGAUUUGUCUCACAGUUCCUGCUGAUUAUUUGGAGUAUGAUUGCUAACACCAGAGCUCCUCACCGAGUUUGACGUUACCGCGGCACUGUGGCUGACAGCAUUGUUGUUUUUUUUUUGUCACAAUUGUGAAAUUCAGUGUAGUGUGACUGUGAAAAAUACCCUUUUCACCCAAUGACCUUGGAAUAAGAUGGGCUGCCAUCAGGUUUUGGAGACUUACUGUGGAACUAACGCUAAAGAAAGAAAGACACUGAGAAUGUGGAGAACCCCUUUUAAAUUCAUACUGAAGAUUUAAAGAACUCUCUAAACAAGCUGAAAGUAGGUCAAAUUCUGAUUGUUAAAAAACAACUAAUCAAUUAGGUGUUGUCAAGACAGGUGGUACCUUGUGAUAAAAUGUUGAUUCACGUAGUAUUUCCUCACUGAACCCUGAGACGUCCCUGGAAAAAAAAAAUUCUGUUUCCAUUACAGAUUGCGAUAGAGAAAAGCAGCUGAAGAGUUAACAGCGUUCCUUCAGCAGGAGACCUAGUGCUACAAAAGAUAAUGUAGGGCAAACGUUGAGAAUGAGUUCUUUGUCUUUUUCACUUAAAUCUGAGCAAAUCCAGGCAGGACCAAUAAGAGAAAGCAGACCUGCGAGCAUCCGUGCUGUCCUCGUCCACAACCAAGAUGACGGUGUUCCAGUUUCCCACACCACCCCGGCCAUGUGUCAUGACCUUUCUCCCAAGGUGACACCUUUCAGGCGACAGCACUUCAGCCUCUGCGGCCUCCCAGUCGUGUCUGCCUGCCUUCUCGUGGACGCUGACUCCAGGCUCACCAGACACUCCCAGAGUGGUGAUUUAGGAACUGGAGCGAUACUGCCAAGUUGCUCAGCUUAGAGCACUUGCUGAGGACAGCCACUGGGUAUAACAGAGAAUUUUCAGUCACUGUUGAUUUGGGCCAGACAAGAAACAGGGAUCUAAGGAAAAAAAAACUCUCUACUUCAUUUCCAGCUCCUGAACCAGCAAGUCAUUUGGAGAGGAGUUUUUCAUGCUCAUCAUAAGGCCGUUUUCUAGGCUCUGAACUGUUCUAAAUACUGCUGUAUUGUGCUUUGUAACAGUGAUCAGCAUCACAGCUGUAGGAAAGCCUUAUCAAGAAAGCUCUGGAAAUCACUACACUUAAACAUAAUAAAACACCAUAGCAGCACCUAACUGCGAUGUCUGUAGGCAACAAUACAUGACUUCACUAGUAGUAAUAUCUGUGAGAAUAAAGGUGUUCAACUCUAUGUGCAAAUCUCCUGUGGCUCUAGGGACAGUUGACGUCAACGUGACUAACUAAUGCAAAGCUGCACAACACUACAGGAGUUUUUAUAGCUGGAAUACUUUCUCAUCCAGUUCUGGAUAAAGAUAAGGAGAAGCCUUUUGAAGCAAAGUAAGCUGCUGUUCAUGAGUGACUGCUCUGAUCGGUGUUCCAAAUGGAAGAAAUUUGGUAAGUGCUGAGACCCCAAGUUUAACUGUGCACAUGUUUUAUUUAUUUCAGCCUUCACAAGGGAAAGGCAGGUAUUUUGCUCUGUGGUAUGUUUAAACUUAUUAAUUAACGAGCUAGACUAUUAGUAAUAACAA